GACGAACGCUGGCGGCGUGCCUAAUACAUGCAAGUAGAACGCUGAAGGAGGAGCUUGCUCUUCUGGAUGAGUUGCGAACGGGUGAGUAACGCGUAGGUAACCUGCCUGGUAGCGGGGGAUAACUAUUGGAAACGAUAGCUAAUACCGCAUAACAACAGUUGUUGCAUGACAGCUGUUUAAAAGAUGCAAUUGCAUCACUACCAGAUGGACCUGCGUUGUAUUAGCUAGUUGGUGAGGUAACGGCUCACCAAGGCAACGAUACAUAGCCGACCUGAGAGGGUGAUCGGCCACACUGGGACUGAGACACGGCCCAGACUCCUACGGGAGGCAGCAGUAGGGAAUCUUCGGCAAUGGACGGAAGUCUGACCGAGCAACGCCGCGUGAGUGAAGAAGGUUUUCGGAUCGUAAAGCUCUGUUGUAAGAGAAGAACGAGUGUGAGAGUGGAAAGUUCACACUGUGACGGUAUCUUACCAGAAAGGGACGGCUAACUACGUGCCAGCAGCCGCGGUAAUACGUAGGUCCCGAGCGUUGUCCGGAUUUAUUGGGCGUAAAGCGAGCGCAGGCGGUUAGAUAAGUCUGAAGUUAAAGGCUGUGGCUUAACCAUAGUACGCUUUGGAAACUGUUUAACUUGAGUGCAAGAGGGGAGAGUGGAACUCCAUGUGUAGCGGUGAAAUGCGUAGAUAUAUGGAGGAACACCGGUGGCGAAAGCGGCUCCCUGGCUUGUAACUGACGCUGAGGCUCGAAAGCGUGGGGAGCAAACAGG
This 763-nucleotide ribosomal RNA is filed under the name uncultured Streptococcus sp. RNAcentral's name for it is "bacterial SSU rRNA". It matches the Rfam family "Bacterial small subunit ribosomal RNA", at positions 28 to 776 of the family's 1533-position model. Lineage: Bacteria; Bacillati; Bacillota; Bacilli; Lactobacillales; Streptococcaceae. The record is from RNAcentral.